AUACGGAGGGUGCGAGCGUUAAUCGGAAUUACUGGGCGUAAAGCGCGCGUAGGCGGUUUGGUCAGUCGGAUGUGAAAGCCCUAGGCUCAACCUGGGAAUGGCAUUCGAUACUGCCUGACUAGAGUAUGGUAGAGGGAAGUGGAAUUUCCGGUGUAGCGGUGAAAUGCGUAGAUAUCGGAAGGAACACCAGUGGCGAAGGCGACUUCCUGGGCCAAUACUGACGCUGAGGUGCGAAAGCGUGGGGAGCAAACAGGAUUAGAUACCCCAGUAGUCC
This 274-nucleotide ribosomal RNA is filed under the name uncultured bacterium. Its description in RNAcentral is "partial 16S ribosomal RNA". It matches the Rfam family "Bacterial small subunit ribosomal RNA", at positions 523 to 796 of the family's 1533-position model. The record is from RNAcentral.